Acipenser ruthenus (sterlet) is the source of this 1849-nucleotide long non-coding RNA. RefSeq lists it as uncharacterized. Lineage: Eukaryota; Metazoa; Chordata; Actinopteri; Acipenseriformes; Acipenseridae. The record is from RefSeq and is a predicted model, not a curated record. The transcript has 3 exons.
AUGUGACGUUUUUGGUUUUUCAGCUUCAUAUUCACUACACCCGUAUAUACUGUGAUUCCCUAGUCAACUGAUUGUGGGUGUUAACCCAUUGCAGACCACAGUGUCAAAGCCGUGUGUCUCAGAAACCAUUUGAGGUUGGGUUGCUGACCAUGAUGCUGAACUCUGACCCAAUAUAGGUGCCAUAUUAAGGUCAAGGUCACUUUUGAAGCUGCAUCUCCAUCACGACAAAGUGCACUUUGAGUGAUUGUCAAUGUUUUGUACGUGGCUGUAUUCUUUGAUCCGUUCUGUUUCCAGUGUUGUCUCAUAAAAAUUAAACUGGCCAUAUUAAGGAUCGAGACCACUCGCAGUGUCUUUAGAAGCUGUAUUCUAUGAUUCUCAAUCCAGUUCCGUUACAGGUAGUGUCCAGUACAAACCUUCACUGCUGCAUUGUUUUUAACUCCUGGAUAUAUGUGAGACUAAUUUUUUUUUCAGAAUUUGUUUGCUUUUUGUUUUACAAACCGUUCCCUCUAAUAUGAUACACCUCCUUGAUUAGGCUACAGAGGAUGUUUUGCUUUUUGUUCACACUCCCACUUGUAGUUUAUUUUUUGGUUGAAAUGGACUAUUUUAAGAUGCCAGCAUGUGAUUUUUUGGUUGAAAUUGAAUAUUUUAGAUGCCUGCAUGUGAUUUUUUGGUUGAAAUUGAAUAUUUUAGAUGCCAGCAUGUGAUUCUAAGCCCCGUUGUGCAGUUGUUUGCGAGUUGAGUUGACCUAUAAGACCUUUCACAGAUGGGUGAAAAUUACAUCCCCAAGGAGCCUGGACAAUCAUUGGGAAGCAAUGCAGGGAUUACAUGGAAGUUUCACCCAUUCCAGGGUUUAUUAAGAGUUUGAUUAGCCACAGUCUAUGGGUAACAAGUGCUGUUGUGUCUUACCAGUCUGUGGUACCAACGUUCCUUCUCUUCCAAGCCAUCCUUCAUCCAGAGCCCCAGUUUUUCCUCAAAGGUAUGCACUUGGGGUUUUGUACAGUGGUGGCUGUAUACAGGCAGCGGAUGGGCAUUUUAAAUGUGCAUUGGGUAGCACAGUGUGUGCAAACUCCUCUACCAUCCUCGCCUGUCCCACCUAAACAGAAAGCUUUAGUUGGCUUUCAUUUUGACUUCAAAUGGUAACAUAUCAUUUUGACCUGUUUUGUAUAGCCAUUCGUAGCAAGGCAUUUUGCAUGAAAUGUUUAUUUUUGGUUGCUGGAAAAAGCAAGACCAGACUGAAAGAUGUGGUCAUGUUAAUUGCUCUCAUUGUGUUCUGUAGUACAAACACAUAUUGGAUACCCGGAUCCCUCCCCUUCUCGUGGACCAGACUGAAAGAUGUGGUCAUGUUAAUUGCUCUCAUUGUGUUCUGUAGUACAAACACAUAUUGGAUAUCCGGAUCCCUCCCCUUCUCGUGGAUGUCUGUAGAGGUUCACAUCUGCCAUCUGCCUUUUUCAAUCCACAUUCCUCUUGCUAGUUUAGAAGACAGGAAAGCACAACAGCUAGAACUUCUGAAAGAGAAAAUCGCUGAAGUGAAGCAACAGACAAACCAGGAAUCUGUUUUUCCAGUCUAUGUGACCUGCAAACUUGGAAAUGAUUCCCAGAACGCAGUGCAGAUUUUGCAGAUGACGUUGGGAACAGAACUGCAUUCUGUGCUAGUAAAAGAUAUCCAGGGAGUAUUAAUGGCUUGGGCUCUUCCCCAGUAUUUACAUUUUUAGUUUAAUUUUAGACAUGUUUUGCUUAUAUUUACAUGUGAUCUGUUUUUCAGUGUCAUUCAUGUUUACAGUAUUAGUAGUUGAUCCCAUCUGUAGAUCAUUUUUAUUGCAAAAUGUUAAUUUCCAUUCUUACUACAUUA